Molecule: long non-coding RNA, 458 nt
Organism: Hypomesus transpacificus
Lineage: Eukaryota; Metazoa; Chordata; Actinopteri; Osmeriformes; Osmeridae
Exons: 3
Source: RefSeq, a predicted model, not a curated record
CCAUGUCGAUAGGCAAGUUGAGCAGGGGAGUGUUGCCAUGAUGGUGCUCUUCUUGGGUUUGAUGUCUGAAUGCUUCGUCUGUUCGCAGGGCCACUAGAUUGUAGAUCAUUGAGGUCUGCCACCAUGUCAUCUAAAAAAUGCAGCAGGGUACGAGCGGAGGAUGGGAGAUCCGAGUGGCCAUGAUUCUGAAGAAUCUUCAACAACUGAUCAACGGCAUUGUUCUUCACCUGACAGUGAGUGGCCCAGGUUGCCAGAUCUGAUGCAAGUGAUGUACUUUCUAUGUUGUUUUCUUGGUCGGACUCCUCAUCAUUACUUUCCUCAAGGUCAGUGGGUACCUCCCCAUCAUCCUCAAACGUAAACCUCCCUGUCGUCUUCAUAGGCUUCUCCCCUAUCAUCGUCCAAGGCUACCUCCAUGUCAUCCUGCAAGUAUUCCUCCAACUCUAAUGAUGCUGUAAUGG